GAUGAAGAACGCAGCGAAAUGCGAUAAGUAGUGUGAAUUGCAGAAUUCAGUGAAUCAUCGAAUCUUUGAACGCACAUUGCGCCCUUUGGUAUUCCAAAGGGCAUGCCUGUUCGAGCGUCAUUUGUACCCUCAAGCUUUGCUUGGUGUUGGGCGUCUUGUCUCUAGCUUUGCUGGAGACUCGCCUUAAAGUAAUUGGCAGCCGGCCUACUGGUUUCGGAGCGCAGCACGAGUCGCACUCUCUAUCAGCAAAGGUCUAGCAUCCAUUAAGCCUUUUUUCAACUUUUGACCUCGGAUCAGGUAGGGAUACCCGCUGAACUUAAGCAUAUCAUAAGCGGAGGA
Molecule: unclassified non-coding RNA, 339 nt
Filed under: soil metagenome
Description: partial contains 5.8S ribosomal RNA, internal transcribed spacer 2, and large subunit ribosomal RNA
Rfam family: 5.8S ribosomal RNA (bases 1-120)
Source: RNAcentral